GACGAACGCUGGCGGCGUGCUUAACACAUGCAAGUCGAACGAUGAACCACUUCGGUGGGGAUUAGUGGCGAACGGGUGAGUAACACGUGGGCAAUCUGCCCUUCACUCUGGGACAAGCCCUGGAAACGGGGUCUAAUACCGGAUAACACUGUCACGGGCAUCUGUGGUGGUUAAAAGCUCCGGCGGUGAAGGAUGAGCCCGCGGCCUAUCAGCUUGUUGGUGAGGUAAUGGCUCACCAAGGCGACGACGGGUAGCCGGCCUGAGAGGGCGACCGGCCACACUGGGACUGAGACACGGCCCAGACUCCUACGGGAGGCAGCAGUGGGGAAUAUUGCACAAUGGGCGAAAGCCUGAUGCAGCGACGCCGCGUGAGGGAUGACGGCCUCGGUUGUAAC
RNAcentral lists this ribosomal RNA (395 nucleotides) under uncultured bacterium. Its description in RNAcentral is "bacterial SSU rRNA". It matches the Rfam family "Bacterial small subunit ribosomal RNA", at positions 28 to 429 of the family's 1533-position model. The record is from RNAcentral.